Long non-coding RNA from Ailuropoda melanoleuca (giant panda), 3254 nucleotides. RefSeq lists it as uncharacterized. The record is from RefSeq and is a predicted model, not a curated record. Lineage: Eukaryota; Metazoa; Chordata; Mammalia; Carnivora; Ursidae. The transcript is spliced from 3 exons.
CUUUCACUUAGUAACAAGUGCUUUAUUUGAUUGACUCAUUUAAUCCUUGUGAUGUGCUUUUUCUGUAGAUGAGGGAAAUGAAGCACAGAGAGGAUAAGUGAUUCGCUCAAAAAUCACACAGUGAUUAAAUCACAGACCCAGCACGUGAACCGGGCAGUCAUGGUCUGGGAGCCUGGCCAUGAGUUAGGUGGUUUGCACAGAGUCAGUGUCUCCACUCUGAAGGCCAAAUCUCCUAUCACAGUGGCUCUCUGAAGGGACCCCAGAUGGUAGUGCCUUCUUGCCACACAGACCGCAGAAUAAAACCUAGUUUUCUGAUGUUCCUUCUCCUUCGUCGUUAGCUGUUACUAGGUGAUGUUGUCAGGUGACUUUCCCGAGAAGUCCUGCUGUCAUCGUGCUUCUGUUCUGCUACACCCUAGAGGAAACCAGAUGCCUCUCUGCGGAAUGUCCUCUCCACAGCCUUUGGGGACACAGGUGUCCUGGCAUUGGGAGACAAGUAACUCCACCGAGCACCGAUGUCUACGCUGCUCACAGCCCUUUAUCCUGCAGCUGUGAUUGUGUCGGGAAGUGAUCGCUCAAAGCAAAUCGAUGUGACAGUUGCAUCUUAUUUAUGUGGGACAAAGCCCUCCCUUUGCCCUUGGUGAACUAGGAGAGGAUUUUCAUCUUGGAGCUAGGUCAGGUCCCAAGGAUGUCCUGCGUGGGAGUUGUUCUGUACUGAAGCAAUGAUACAGGCACUGAAAUACUCGGUAUUGUUUGUUGGCGUGAAUUAAAGGGAAUAACACACACAUGAGCUCUGUGACAGCCAACGAGCAUUUGCCCUUGCACCUGAACUUGUGGUUGGGGGUGGCAGAAGCCUGUUAUCUACAUUGCCUACCCAAGUUUAUGGGAACCAGCUCACUGUCUUGACCGCAUAAAGUUCAUUCUCCAACCAAUAGGCACUUACGCUAAUAUUUAUUAAGACCUAGGUCAAAACAGAAGGCCACAUGUUCCUUCCUCUUAUUUUUUUCCUCUUAAGAAAUAAAUAUUUCCUCUUAAGAAAUAAAUAUUGACAAGUAUGGCAAAAAAUUCAGUGAUCAUCAAUAUCUUCAUUAGUCAGAAUCAAAGAUCCAUCCAAUAGGUAACACGUUGAACACAUUUCACACUGGGUACAGUACUAGUGCUUUAUUGGAUUAACUCAUUUAACCCUCACAAUGGAAAUGCAAAGCAUGGAUAUAAAGAAUGCAGAAAGCAUUUAAAACGAACUUCUUCUUUGCUUGAUAUCAGAGAAGCCGGCUUUGGGGAAGUCCGUAAGUGUUCUGUCUGAAUAGGAGUCUCACUCCUGAUUUCCACUUUGAAACCUUCAGUUCAUCAAAUACUGCCUCCUCCAUGAAGUCGUUCUGAUUUCUCCUGAAACAUGAGAAUUUUUCCUCCUCAUUUAUAUCUCAAAUCUCAAAGCCACCCAACUGUACUUUUCAAUGGCACUGAUCCUAUUCUGACAGGCACCAUGGUUCUCUGAAGAUGUGGGGUGUGCUACAAGCAAGGGAUUUGGAGUCAAAAGACAUCUGUUUGACUUUUCCCAGGCUCCCUGGGUAAGUGCUACUAAUCGCAGUAUUAUCUUCCUGAGGGAACUUGCGAGACCUAGUGAAAAAACACACAGAUAGUACUUUGUUAACUGGAAGCACAGGUUACCGCGUUUAUUACUAUCUCUGGUGUGUAAACACAUCGAAAGGAAUGCUGGCCUGAGCCAUCUUUGUGUGUUCUCUGACACCUUGAGCAUUGCCUGAGAACUAGCAGACGUACUAAGUGUGUUAUCAGAGGAAUAGUUUUAGGAGACAGCUGUCUUCUUAGCAACCAAUCGCAUGAGCCAUCUCAAGAGCAUCUUCGUCCAGAUGCAGAAGCAAUCUGGACAGACCCUUAGCUUGGGCUGGGUUCUUUAAGGCCAACGAGGCACCGUGCAUCCUCUAGCUAGCUGAGAGGAGGCAAGGCUGCUGGAGAUGCUUUGUCAGGAAAGGGGAAACGACUCUUUAAGAAAGUCACCUUAAUGUGACUGAAUCCUUCAUCAUGAGGUCAGAAGACAAAGUCAGAGAUGCAAGAGGUAUGCUCUCCAUGGGGCAGUAUGACAACCCUUCAAGUUUGAUUCCCAAAUGCAGACGUGCCUGGCUGUUCUGCACUUCUGGAAGGAAGGCUGUAUUUGUGAAGUGAUGGAAUAAUUUCCAUGGCAACAGACUGUCUGGUGUCAGAAGAACAGACAUGAAAGCUCCACGUGCCAAGUCUGUAUUUAUGUGAUGCUUAUGUCUCUGCCUCCUACAACGCAGAGGGGGCUUGAUCUCUCAGCAGACAUCCUUUACUGUCCAAACGAUCCCAAUGUAGAAAUCAUGCCAUUUCUAUCAGACUUCCACAUCUAAAGGUUGAGUGUACUAUUUCUGUCUUGUAAAAUUUUUAGUAGACUGAAUGGAGCUGUCAGGGUCUUUGUAAACAGAUCUUGCUGGACCCUCAGGGGGUGACCCAGGGGUGAUGAAGGAGGCAGCUAGGGCCUGGACCUUGGUCUUCUAGGGAAUGUAGUGUUGCCACCUGCCCAGCACCUUGCUUCAGGAUGAAGGGAGAGAGGGGGUGUAGUCAGAGGACCAGGAUGGACCCUGACUGGAGAAGCCUGGCCAAGCAGAGUAGAACUGCUCCCUGUUGCUGUAUGCAUCUUCCUGCAAUCGAUAGCCCCUGGGAGAAGCUCUGCUCUUACCCUCGGCUCCUAAUCUCUGAUGCUUCCCAAGACUUUAUCACCAUAAUCUGUGCACCAGAGACUUCAAACCAAAGACUGCUCUUGGCUCCUUUCCUGACCCCAGGCUUCUCCACAAACCACAAAGCCCUAGACUGUUGCUCCUUAGGACUUAACCCUUCCUAACUCCUUCCCGUCUGCCCAAACCACAGGCCAAGCACAUCAGGAGAAGCCUAACUGCCCAUGUCUUGCUCUGUAUCUCAGAGCCUGGGGGUCAAGUAAUGUCUCCAAAAGGGAAGUAUCUUCUUCCUUUUUUUUUUUUUUAAAGAUUUUAUUUCUUUUGAGAGACAGAGAGAGAGAGCAAGUACAUGAGCAUCAGGGAGGGGCAAAGUGAGAGGGAGGAGCAGACUCCCCACUGAGCAGGGAGCCCAACAUGGGGUUCAAUCCCGGGACCCCGAGAUCAUGACCUGAGCCAAAGGCGGAUGCUUAACCAACUGAGCCACCCAGGCACCCCAGGGAAGUACCUCCAAUCACUGAAGGUCAGCAAGAUGCCCACAGGGGGCUUGUA